CCUACGGGAGGCAGCAGUGAGGAAUAUUGGUCAAUGGACGCAAGUCUGAACCAGCCAUGCCGCGUGCAGGAAGACGGCUCUAUGAGUUGUAAACUGCUUUUGUACGAGGGUAAACGCAGAUACGCGUAUCUGUCUGAAAGUAUCGUACGAUUAAGGAUCGGCUAACUCCGUGCCAGCAGCCGCGGUAAUACGGAGGAUUCAAGCGUUAUCCGGAUUUAUUGGGUUUAAAGGGUGCGUAGGCGGUCGGAUAAGUUAGAGGUGAAAUCCCGAGGCUCAACUUCGGAAUUGCCUCUGAUACUGUUCGGCGAGAGAGUAGUUGCGGUAGGCGGAAUGUAUGGUGUAGCGGUGAAAUGCUUAGAGAUCAUACAGAACACCGAUUGCGAAGGCAGCUUACCAAGCUACUUCUGACGUUGAGGCACGAAAGCGUGGGGAGCAAACAGGAUUAGAUACCCGUGUAGUC
RNAcentral lists this ribosomal RNA (460 nucleotides) under uncultured bacterium. RNAcentral describes it as "partial 16S ribosomal RNA". It matches the Rfam family "Bacterial small subunit ribosomal RNA", at positions 338 to 795 of the family's 1533-position model. The record is from RNAcentral.